GACGAACGCUGGCGGCGUGCUUAACACAUGCAAGUCGAACGAAGAGCGAUGGAAGCUUGCUUCUAUCAAUCUUAGUGGCGAACGGGUGAGUAACGCGUAAUCAACCUGCCCUUCAGAGGGGGACAACAGUUGGAAACGACUGCUAAUACCGCAUACGAUCUAAUCUCGGCAUCGAGGAUAGAUGAAAGGUGGCCUCUACAUGUAAGCUAUCACUGAAGGAGGGGAUUGCGUCUGGUUAGCUAGUUGGAGGGGUAACGGCCCACCAAGGCGAUGAUCAGUAGCCGGUCUGAGAGGAUGAACGGCCACAUUGGGACUGAGACACGGCCCAGACUCCUACGGGAGGCAGCAGUGGGGAAUCUUCCGCAAUGGACGAAAGUCUGACGGAGCAACGCCGCGUGAGUGAUGACGGCCUUCGGGUUGUAAAGCUCUGUUAAUCGGGACGAAAGGCCUUCUUGCGAA
Molecule: ribosomal RNA, 459 nt
Filed under: Veillonella parvula
Lineage: Bacteria; Bacillati; Bacillota; Negativicutes; Veillonellales; Veillonellaceae
Description: bacterial SSU rRNA
Rfam family: Bacterial small subunit ribosomal RNA
Source: RNAcentral